Molecule: ribosomal RNA, 301 nt
Filed under: uncultured bacterium
Lineage: Bacteria
Description: partial 16S ribosomal RNA
Rfam family: Bacterial small subunit ribosomal RNA
Source: RNAcentral
CAGUCGCCGCGGGAAUACGUAGGUGGCAAGCGUUGUCCGGAAUUAUUGGGCGUAAGGGGCUCGCAGGCGGUUUCUUAAGUCUGAUGUGAAAGCCCCCGGCUCAACCGGGGAGGGUCAUUGGAAACUGGGAAACUUGAGUGCAGAAGAGGAGAGUGGAAUUCCACGUGUAGCGGUGAAAUGCGUAGAGAUGUGGAGGAACACCAGUGGCGAAGGCGACUCUCUGGUCUGUAACUGACGCUGAGGCGCGAAAGCGUGGGGAGCAAACAGGAUUAGAUACCCCGGUAGUCCCUGUCUCUUAUAC